CGUAGGCAGCGAGCGUUGUUCGGAGUUACUGGGCGUAAAGGGUGUGUAGGCGGUUCUUUAAGUUUGGUGUGAAAUCUCCCGGCUCAACCGGGAGGGUGCGCCGAAUACUGAGGGACUUCGAGUGCGGGAGAGGAAAGUGGAAUUCCUGGUGUAGCGGUGAAAUGCGUAGAUAUCAGGAGGAACACCGGUGGUGUAGACGGCUUUCUGGACCGUAACUGACGCUGAGACACGAAAGCGUGGGUAGCAAACAGG
This 252-nucleotide ribosomal RNA is filed under the name uncultured bacterium. RNAcentral describes it as "partial 16S ribosomal RNA". It matches the Rfam family "Bacterial small subunit ribosomal RNA", at positions 526 to 776 of the family's 1533-position model. The record is from RNAcentral.